Molecule: ribosomal RNA, 497 nt
Filed under: uncultured bacterium
Lineage: Bacteria
Description: partial 16S ribosomal RNA
Rfam family: Bacterial small subunit ribosomal RNA
Source: RNAcentral
GAUGAACGCUGGCGGCGUGCCUAAUACAUGCAAGUCGAGCGAACAGACGAGGAGCUUGCUCCUCUGACGUUAGCGGCGGACGGGUGAGUAACACGUGGAUAACCUACCUAUAAGACUGGGAUAACUUCGGGAAACCGGAGCUAAUACCGGAUAAUAUAUUGAACCGCAUGGUUCAAUAGUGAAAGACGGUUUUGCUGUCACUUAUAGAUGGAUCCGCGCCGCAUUAGCUAGUUGGUAAGGUAACGGCUUACCAAGGCAACGAUGCGUAGCCGACCUGAGAGGGUGACCGGCCACACUGGAACUGAGACACGGUCCAGACUCCUACGGGAGGCAGCAGUAGGGAAUCUUCCGCAAUGGGCGAAAGCCUGACGGAGCAACGCCGCGUGAGUGAUGAAGGUCUUCGGAUCGUAAAACUCUGUUAUUAGGGAAGAACAAAUGUGUAAGUAACUAUGCAUGUCUUGACGGUACCUAAUCAGAAAGCCACGGCUAACUACGUG